RNAcentral lists this transfer RNA (72 nucleotides) under Capra hircus (goat). It matches the Rfam family "tRNA". Rfam says of the family: Transfer RNA (tRNA) molecules are approximately 80 nucleotides in length. Their secondary structure includes four short double-helical elements and three loops (D, anti-codon, and T loops). RNAcentral also lists the same sequence under 1 other name. The record is from Rfam by way of RNAcentral. Lineage: Eukaryota; Metazoa; Chordata; Mammalia; Artiodactyla; Bovidae.
UCCCUUGUGGCUGAGUUGGUAAAGAAUCUGCCUGCAAUGCAGGAGACCCUGGUUCGAUUCCCGGGUUGGGAA